GACGAACGCUGGCGGCGUGCUUAACACAUGCAAGUCGAACGGAAAGGCCCUGCUUUUGUGGGGUGCUCGAGUGGCGAACGGGUGAGUAACACGUGAGUAACCUGCCCUUGACUUUGGGAUAACUUCAGGAAACUGGGGCUAAUACCGGAUAGGAGCUCCUGCUGCAUGGUGGGGGUUGGAAAGUUUCGGCGGUUGGGGAUGGACUCGCGGCUUAUCAGCUUGUUGGUGGGGUAGUGGCUUACCAAGGCUUUGACGGGUAGCCGGCCUGAGAGGGUGACCGGGGACAUGGGGACUGAGAGACGGAGCAGACUCCUACGGGAGGCAGCAGGGGGGAGUAUUGCACAAUGGGCGGAAGCCUGAUGCAGCAACGCCGGGUGCGGGAUGACGGCCUUCGGGUUGUAAACCGCUUUCGCCUGUGACGAAGCGUGAGUGACGGUAAUGGGUAAAGAAGCACCGGCUAACUACGUG
Molecule: ribosomal RNA, 468 nt
Filed under: uncultured bacterium
Lineage: Bacteria
Description: partial 16S ribosomal RNA
Rfam family: Bacterial small subunit ribosomal RNA
Source: RNAcentral